UAGGGAAUCUUCCACAAAUGGACGAAAGUCUGAUGGAGCAACGCCGCGCGAGUGAAGAAGGGUUUCGGCUCGUAAAACUCUGUUGUUAAAGAAGAACAUAUCUGAGAGUAACUGUUCAGGUAUUGACGGUAUUUAACCAGAAAGCCACGGCUAACUACGUGCCAG
This 165-nucleotide ribosomal RNA is filed under the name uncultured bacterium. RNAcentral's name for it is "partial 16S ribosomal RNA". It matches the Rfam family "Bacterial small subunit ribosomal RNA", at positions 355 to 511 of the family's 1533-position model. The record is from RNAcentral.